RNAcentral lists this ribosomal RNA (612 nucleotides) under Dirkmeia churashimaensis. RNAcentral describes it as "partial large subunit ribosomal RNA". It matches the Rfam family "Eukaryotic large subunit ribosomal RNA", at positions 62 to 655 of the family's 3401-position model. Lineage: Eukaryota; Fungi; Basidiomycota; Ustilaginomycetes; Ustilaginales; Ustilaginaceae. The record is from RNAcentral.
AAACUAACAAGGAUUCCCCUAGUAACGGCGAGUGAAGAGGGAAGAGCCCAAGAUUGAAAGCUGGCGUCUUCGGCGUCCGCAUUGUAAUCUCAAGAAGUGUUUUCCGCUUCGGACCAUGCCUAAGUCCCUUGGAAAAGGGCAUCAUAGAGGGUGAUAAUCCCGUACAUGGCAUGGAGCGCCCGAAGCUUUGUGAUACGCUUUCUAAGAGUCGAGUUGUUUGGGAAUGCAGCUCAAAAUGGGUGGUAAAUGCCAUCUAAGGCUAAAUAUUGGGGAGAGACCGAUAGCGAACAAGUACAGUGAUGGAAAGAUGAAAAGAACUUUGAAAAGAGAGUUAAACAGUACGUGAAAUUGCCAAAAGGGAAGGGUAGGAGGUCAGAGAUGCGGCCUGGGAUUCAGCCUUGCUUUUGCUUGGUGUUUUUCCCAGAUUGCAGGCCAACGUCGGUUUUGGGCACUGGAGAAGGGUAGGAGGAACGUGGCACCUCUCGGGGUGUGUUAUAGCCUCCUACUGGAUACAGCGACCGAGACCGAGGACAGCAGCGUACUCGCAAGAGCGGGCCUUCAGGCACCUUUACGCUGAGGGCGUUGGCAUAAUGGCCCUCUACCACCCGUCUU